RNAcentral lists this small RNA (1016 nucleotides) under Pongo abelii (Sumatran orangutan). RNAcentral's name for it is "processed transcript". The record is from RNAcentral. Lineage: Eukaryota; Metazoa; Chordata; Mammalia; Primates; Hominidae.
GUGUCCUUGCUACACAGAACCACAAAAUCUAACAGGUGUCUCAGAAUUCCUCCUGAUGGGGCUCUCAGAUGAUCCAGAACAGCAGCCCCUCCUCUAUGGGCUAUUCCUGUCCAUGUACCUGGUCACGGUACUGGGGAACCUGGUCACGGUACUGGGGAACCUGCUCAUCAUCCUGGCCAUCAGCUCUGACUCCCACCUGCGCACCCCCAUGUACUUCUUCCUCUCCAACCUGUCCUUGGCUGACAUCAAUCUCAUCUCCACCACGGUCCCCAAGAUGAUUGUGGACAUCCAAACUCACAGCAGAGUCAUCUCCUAUGCGGGCUGCCUGACUCAGAUGUCUUUUUCAAUCCUUUUUGCAUGUAUGGAUGACAUGCUCCUGACUGAUGGCCUAUGACCGGUUUGUGGCCAUCAGUCACCCCCUGCAAUACCCAGUCAUCAUGAACCCACGACUCUGUGGCUUCUUAGUUUUGGUGUCUGUUUUUCUUAGCUUUUUAGUAUCCCAGGUGCACAAUUUGAUUGCCUUACAAUUUACUUGCUUCAAAGAUAUAAAGAUUUCUCAUUUCUUCUGUGACCCUUCUCAAAUCCUCACCAUUGCUUGUUCUGACACUUCUGUUAAUAACAUAGUUGUAUAUUUCUUUGCUGCCAUAUUUGGUUUUCUUCCCAUCUCAGGGAUCUUUUUCUCUUACUAUAAAAUUGUUUCCUCCAUUCUGAGAAUUCCAUCAUCAGGUGGGAGGUAUAAAGCCUUGUCCACCUGUAGCUCUCACCUGGCAGUUGUUUGCUUAUUUUAUGGAAUAAUCUUUGGAGUGCACCUCAGUUCAGCUGUGUCCUCUUCCCCCAGAAAGGGUGUGGUGGCCUCAGUGAUGUACACAGUGGUCACCCCCAUGCUGAACCCCUUCAUCUACAGCCUGAGAAACAGGGACAUUAAAAGUGCCCUGUGGAGGUUGCACAGCAGAAUAGUCAAAUAUCUUUGUUGGAUUCAUCCUUUCUGUUAUGUGGGCUAGAAAAGGCAGCAAAAU